GCUCAGCCGUAAACUUAGAUAAAAAUUUACAUAACUUAUCCGCCAGGGUACUACGAGCAUUAGCUUGAAACCCAAAGGACUUGGCGGUGCUUCAAACCCACCUAGAGGAGCCUGUUCUAGAACCGAUAAUCCCCGUUAAACCUCACCCUCUCUUGUUCUUCCCGCCUAUAUACCGCCGUCGUCAGCCUACCCUGUGAAGGCCUCAUAGUGAGCAUAAUUAGUAAAACUUAAAACGCCAGGUCGAGGUGUAGCAUAUGAGAGGGGAAGAAAUGGGCUACAUUCCCUAAAUCCGGGCAUACGGAUAGUAUAAUGAAAAGUAUAUUAGAAGGAGGAUUUAGCAGUAAGCAGUAAAUAGAGUGUCCUGCUGAAACUGGCCCUGAAGCGCGC
RNAcentral lists this ribosomal RNA (387 nucleotides) under Cheilopogon pinnatibarbatus japonicus. RNAcentral's name for it is "partial 12S ribosomal RNA". It matches the Rfam family "Bacterial small subunit ribosomal RNA", at positions 794 to 1384 of the family's 1533-position model. The record is from RNAcentral. Lineage: Eukaryota; Metazoa; Chordata; Actinopteri; Beloniformes; Exocoetidae.